RNAcentral lists this transfer RNA (72 nucleotides) under Heterocephalus glaber (naked mole-rat). It matches the Rfam family "tRNA". From Rfam's summary of the family: Transfer RNA (tRNA) molecules are approximately 80 nucleotides in length. Lineage: Eukaryota; Metazoa; Chordata; Mammalia; Rodentia; Bathyergidae. The record is from Rfam by way of RNAcentral.
GGGGAUUUAGCCCAGUGGUAGAGCACUUGCCUAGCAAGUGCAAGGCCCUGAGUUCAAUCCUCAACACCCCCC